RNAcentral lists this ribosomal RNA (987 nucleotides) under uncultured bacterium. Its description in RNAcentral is "bacterial SSU rRNA". It matches the Rfam family "Bacterial small subunit ribosomal RNA", at positions 8 to 975 of the family's 1533-position model. The record is from RNAcentral.
AGAGUUUGAUCCUGGCUCAGAACGAACGUUAGCGGCGCGCCUAACACAUGCAAGUCGCGCGAGAAAGGGCUUCGGCCCCAGUAAAGCGGCGCACGGGUGAGUAACACGUAGGUCAUCUCCCCUUGAGUGGUGGAUAACUCUCCGAAAGGAGAGCUAAUACAGCAUAAGACCACGACCUCGCCGAGGUUGUGGCCAAAGCAGACCUCUUCAUGAAAGUUUGCGCUUAGGGAUGAGCCUGCGGCCCAUCAGCUAGUUGGUAGGGUAAUGGCCUACCAAGGCUAAGACGGGUAGCUGGUCUGAGAGGAUGAACAGCCACACUGGAACUGAGACACGGUCCAGACUCCUACGGGAGGCAGCAGUGGGGAAUCUUGCGCAAUGGGCGAAAGCCUGACGCAGCGACGCCGCGUGAGCGAUGAAGGCCUUCGGGUUGUAAAGCUCUGUGGGGAGGGAAGAAUAAGUUUUGGCUAAUAUCCAAAGCGAUGACGGUACCUCCUUAGCAAGCACCGGCUAACUCUGUGCCAGCAGCCGCGGUAAGACAGAGGGUGCAAACGUUGUUCGGAAUUACUGGGCGUAAAGCGCGUGUAGGCGGCUAAGUAAGUCGGGCGUGAAAUCCCACGGCUCAACCGUGGAAGUGCACUCGAAACUGCAUAGCUAGAGUCCUGGAGAGGAAGGUGGAAUGCUUGGUGUAGAGGUGAAAUUCGUAGAUAUCAAGCGGAACACCGGUGGCGAAGGCGGCCUUCUGGACAGUGACUGACGCUGAGACGCGAAAGCGUGGGGAGCAAACAGGAUUAGAUACCCUGGUAGUCCACGCCGUAAACGAUGAGUGCUAGGUGUCACGGGCUUUGACCCUCGUGGUGCCGAAGCUAACGCGUUAAGCACUCCGCCUGGGGAGUACGGCCGCAAGGCUAAAACUCAAAAGAAUUGACAGGGGCCCGCACAAGCGGUGGAGCAUGUUGUUUAAUUCGACGCAACGCGAAGAACCUUACC